RNAcentral lists this ribosomal RNA (400 nucleotides) under uncultured bacterium. RNAcentral describes it as "bacterial SSU rRNA". It matches the Rfam family "Bacterial small subunit ribosomal RNA", at positions 355 to 752 of the family's 1533-position model. The record is from RNAcentral.
UGAGGAAUAUUGGUCAAUGGACGGAAGUCUGAACCAGCCAUGCCGCGUGAAGGAUGAAGGCGUUCUGCGUUGUAAACUUCUUUUAUCUGGGAAGAAACCUCCGAUUUCUAUUGGAGCCGACGGUACCAGAGGAAUAAGCACCGGCUAACUCCGUGCCAGCAGCCGCGGUAAUACGGAGGGUGCAAGCGUUAUCCGGAUUUACUGGGUUUAAAGGGUGUGUAGGCGGACCAUUAAGUCAGCGGUGAAAUCUCCGGGCUCAACCCGGAAACUGCCAUUGAUACUAUUGGUCUUGAAUGUUGUGGAGGUGGGCGGAACGGGUCAUGUAGCGGUGAAAUGCAUAGAUAUGACCCGGAACACCGAUUGCGAAGGCAGCCCGCUACGCAACGAUUGACGCUGAGGC